RNAcentral lists this ribosomal RNA (423 nucleotides) under uncultured bacterium. RNAcentral's name for it is "bacterial SSU rRNA". It matches the Rfam family "Bacterial small subunit ribosomal RNA", at positions 207 to 622 of the family's 1533-position model. The record is from RNAcentral.
AAGACCUUGCGCUUUUGGAGCGGCCGAUGUCUGAUUAGCUUGUUGGUAAGGUAAAAGCUUACCAAGGCUUCGAUCAGUAGCUGGUCUGAGAGGACGGCCAGCCACACUGGGACUGAGACACGGCCCAGACUCCUACGGGAGGCAGCAGUGGGGAAUUUUGGACAAUGGGGGCAACCCUGAUCCAGCCAUGCCGCGUGAGUGAAGAAGGCCUUCGGGUUGUAAAGCUCUUUCAGCCGGAACGAAACGGUUACGGUUAAUACCCGUAACUAAUGACGGUACCGGAAGAAGAAGCACCGGCUAACUACGUGCCAGCAGCCGCGGUAAUACGUAGGGUGCGAGCGUUAAUCGGAAUUACUGGGCGUAAAGCGUGCGCAGGUGGUUUUGUAAGUCAGAUGUGAAAGCCCCGGGCUCAACCUGGGAACU